Molecule: long non-coding RNA, 146 nt
Organism: Thalassophryne amazonica
Lineage: Eukaryota; Metazoa; Chordata; Actinopteri; Batrachoidiformes; Batrachoididae
Exons: 4
Source: RefSeq, a predicted model, not a curated record
UGGGCACAUUGCAUGGCAGCAGCCUCACAUCAGGUGUGUGAGUGUGUCUGUGUGAAUGGGUGAAUGUGAAGCAUAACUGUAAAUCAGUUUGAGCUUCUGAUGAAGAUGGAAGAGAGUUAUAUAAAUGUAUGUGGUUUACCAUUUUC